RNAcentral lists this long non-coding RNA (219 nucleotides) under Elaeis guineensis (African oil palm). Its description in RNAcentral is "long non-coding RNA (EGUI_LNC053681)". Lineage: Eukaryota; Viridiplantae; Streptophyta; Magnoliopsida; Arecales; Arecaceae. The record is from RNAcentral.
GCCUGGUAGUGAGCCGUUCAGGGCCACGCGGAGUUUGUUGCGGAGAGUAGUGACAUCAGUGGACCGUUCAGAGCCACGUGAAGUUUGUUAUGGAGAGUGGAGUGGUGUCCGUUGUCGUGAUUUGCUAGAGAGUGGUGGGACCACGUGAAAUCUGUUACAAAGAGUGGAGUGGGGUAGUGGCCAUUAUCGUGACUUGCCAGAGAGUUUGGGCCUGUCGGC